GGCGGCGAGCGGAAGUGGGUGUGAGAGCGGAAGUGGCCGGCUGGAGCCGGGGGCUGGGCGGGGACCGGGCUUGUCGGUGAGGCGGCAGCGGCGGCGGCGGCGGCUCGGCAGGCGGGUUCAGGCUUCGGGGGCCAGCCGCCGCCAUGAUCCUGCUGGAGGUGAACAACCGCAUCAUCGAGGAGACGCUCGCGCUCAAGUUCGAGAACGCGGCCGCCGGAAACAAACCAGAAGCAGUAGAAGUAACAUUUGCAGAUUUCGAUGGAGUCCUCUAUCAUAUUUCAAAUCCUAAUGGAGACAAAACAAAAGUGAUGGUCAGUAUUUCUUUGAAAUUCUACAAGGAACUUCAGGCACAUGGUGCUGAUGAGUUAUUAAAGAGGGUGUACGGGAGUUUCUUGGUAAAUCCAGAAUCAGGAUACAAUGUCUCUUUGCUAUACGACCUUGAAAAUCUGCCUGCCUCCAAGGAUUCCAUUGUGCAUCAGGCUGGCAUGUUGAAACGAAACUGUUUUGCCUCUGUCUUCGAGAAGUACUUCCAAUUCCAAGAAGAGGGCAAGGAAGGAGAGAACAGGGCAGUUAUCCAUUAUAGAGAUGAUGAGACCAUGUAUGUUGAGUCUAAAAAGGACAGAGUCACAGUAGUCUUCAGCACGGUGUUUAAGGAUGACGAUGAUGUGGUCAUUGGAAAGGUCUUCAUGCAGGAGUUCAAAGAAGGACGCAGAGCCAGCCACACAGCCCCACAGGUCCUCUUUAGCCACAGGGAACCUCCUCUGGAGCUGAAGGACACCGACGCUGCCGUGGGUGACAACAUCGGCUAUAUUACCUUCGUGCUGUUCCCUCGCCACACCAACGCCAGCGCUCGAGACAACACCAUCAACCUGAUCCACACGUUUCGGGACUACCUGCACUACCACAUCAAGUGCUCUAAGGCCUAUAUUCACACCCGGAUGCGGGCAAAAACCUCCGACUUCCUCAAGGUGCUGAACCGUGCACGCCCAGAUGCGGAAAAGAAAGAAAUGAGAACAAUCACCAUGCUUAUUACCCAAAGUCUUCAGUAGGAAGAGGGAGCCGAUGGCACCGUUCUGUGAAAACUGGGUCUUCGCCCGUGCCUGGAGUUCCCACGUGCCUCUGCCUCAGGGGGAAGACGUUUUCAUCCCGCUAACUCUUGGGAACAGGAAGAGGAAGCUUCGGCUGGCAACUGAAGGCUGGAACACUUGCUACUGGAUAAUCGUAGCUUUUAACGUUGCACCUCUUCAGGUUCUUGAGAGAUUCUCCGUUUUGGUUCCAUUUUGUACACGUUUGGAAAAUAAUCUGCAGAAACGAGCUGUGCUUGCAAGGACUUCAUAGUUCCCAAGAAUUAAAAAAAGAAAAAGAAGAAUUCCACUUGAUCAACUUACUUCCUUUUCUUUGUCUUCCCUCCCUCACCCCCCUUCCCUUCCACCCUCUUUUCCAAGCUGUUUCGCUUUGCAAUAUGUUACUGGUAAUGAGUUGCAGGAUAAUGCAAUCUUAACUUGUUUUUUUCCCAAGUAUUUGAGUUUAAAACUCCUGUAUCUAAAGAAUACGGUUGGGGUCAUUAAUAAAGAAAAUCUUUCUAUCUUA
This is a non-coding RNA of Equus caballus (horse), 1590 nucleotides long. Lineage: Eukaryota; Metazoa; Chordata; Mammalia; Perissodactyla; Equidae. The record is from RefSeq and is a predicted model, not a curated record.